UUGCAGUAUGCACACUGAUCUUUUUCUAGGCGUGGUCGGUCUCUUCUGGGUCUCCAUGGCCCCUGCUGUUUUUCAUCUCUCAGAUCCCCUGUCUGUAUAGUCCUACCCCUUUAUCUACCACUGUGGCCAGAAUUCAAGUCAGAGCCUUCUCCUGCCUCCUUUCUCUAUUAUCUUCGUCUUUUCUCCUCUCUUUCUUUUCUCUUUCUAACUUUUCCUCCUCUGUUUCUCUCUUGUAAUACACCUUUUCAGCCUCUCUAACCACAUCCCUUAUAGUAUAAUCUUGCAAUCUUUCAAUUCGCUGCAGGUUCCUUCUAAUAUCAGGAGCUGAUUGCCCUAUGUAGGCCAUAAUCACUGAAGCCCACUGUCCCUCUGACAUAGUAUCAAAUGGGGUAUACCUCCUAUAAGCCUCCAUGAGUCUCUCUAAAAAAACUGAAGGGGGCUCAGUUGGCCCCUGGAUAACUUCUUUUACCUUAGGCAAAUUAGUGGGUCUACGAGCGGCCCCUCUGAGACCCGCAACUAGUGCCCAUCGUAAUUGGACAGCCGUUCCCUACCUUGUGCUGUGUUAUAAUCCCACUGAGGACGAGUCAAAGGAAAUCCUUCGUCUAUCUCGACUGGUGUCUGGACUGGCCGACCGGCCCCAUCUCGGAUGUUCUUCCAUGCCUCGAGGAGAAUUCUUUCUCUCUCCUAGGUGGUGAACAGGGUUUGUAGGAGCUGUUGGCAACCAUCCCAGGUGGGCUGGUGUGAGUACAUCAGAGACUCUAUCAACCCUUUAAGCCCUGUAGGAUUUUCUGAGAAAGGGGGGUGGUUUACUUUCCACUCAUAGAAAUCAGAGGAAGAAAAAGGCCAGUAUUGCAGAAGCUGUAGAUCGUUCUGGCUGGCAGGGGGAGCUCCAACAGCCCUAAGGGGAAGUGCCAUCUUAGAAACGACUGGCCUGUCACUGGGGGCUCCCCGCUGGCUUCUUGUUCCUGCUGAGGGACCUCCCUCCCCGAUCCCUAGAACCAAAGUUGGAGCCAUGGAGCUGAGGGUUGGGGUACAGGUUGGAGAACCGGGAGAUAAGGUGGUGGUAGAGAGUCGGGCCAUUCAGGGGGCCACUCUAUUUCUGGGUAGAUUUUAGUAAUGGCUGCUGGCUGCAGCGGAGUAGAUUUUUUGCUGGCUUCUCCAGGGAGUAGUUUCGAUUUCCCCUUCUCAGCAUUUUCUCGGACUAUCAAAACCUUGGGACCUGGACGUAGGGGUGGGAGAAAUGGACAAACCCACGCUGGGGGAAAUCACGCUAAAUCUUCCCACACUGUGAUGUAUGGUUGCUGGACUGGGUGCGAUCCUGGUCCUUCCUGAAAAACAACGGCCUUUACGGCCCUAAUGGUGGGGAGAUCAAACGUUCCUUCGAGAGGCCAACCCACCCCAAAAGUGUGCCAUUCCGAGGUACAGUAAGCGUGCCAAGGUUUCUUCUUAACUAUUACUGAUAGAUUUUGUCCUCUUGCCCUAAUGUCCGUCCAAUGGUCCUUAGUCAAAGAUAUUGGGGUUGAGACAGUCUGUCCCAUGACAAAAACCAGAAACAGAGACAAAAUGAAGACAGAGACAAGGGAUACCAGAACGUCCAAGCAUACUCAUCCCUGCCUGGACCCAUACAACAAGCGAAACGCUACCUCUGACGGGCUGGGAUUCAGCGUCCACUCCUGCUCUGGCAGAAAGAGCACCUGAUCUCCCUGGCUCUGCCAGAGGACAGCUGGGUCGUCCCGGCUGUCUCUGACCCUGAGCACUUCCUCCAGGGUCACCCUUGGAACGUCUUCCCAGGGUUGCAGCUUGUGGACUCAAGACAUCUCCUUCCACAGCCACUGGACCCACACGGACCUCCGUGGCAGCUGCCAGAAUACUAAAACUUGAAAACCGAGACACAGAUUCAGCGGCACCGCACUCAGACACACCAAACUCACACAGACGCACCUCCAAGGGGUAUUCUUGGGGUUCUUUGUGCUCCCAAAUCCCAGACAAGCCCCCAGAUGUAGGAACCCCCCCAUAUGGGGACCUCCACUCUAAUCCAGGGAUAGUGUGCACCCACGAACACGCAAGAAUCCUUCUUGUUGCAAUACAUACGAGGCUUUAUUGGCAGAGCUCUGGGCCGACACAUAACUCAAACAGGAGGCAGGGAAGUCGACUCCGAGUCUCCAGAACUAGGGGUUUUUAUGAAAGAAAAAGGGAUAGGGGUGUGAGGAAUUUCAACAAAGGUAUGGGAUUGGCUCAUUCAAACAUUAACAGUAAGAUUACAUGUCAGCCAAAGGGCAUCAGGACCUUCUUCCUGUGGGCUGGGGGCUUAUCUUUGUUCACAUAGCAACCAGUUGAUGUAUGACUUUACUCUGGCACCAAGGGGCAGUAGACAGAGGGGAGGUUCUGGCCAGAUAGUAUCGACUCAGACAAGAUAUCCUUGCCUGCGUCCUUGCAUUCCUUUUCAUCUUUACAGGAGAGCCCUGCCCUGGCAUCUGGGCUCCUAGAAAACUCUUUUACAUGAAUCACAAGUUACAAAAUCUCAUUUUCCUUCACUAGCUGAGCCAUGUGAGACAGCUUACCACUCACUGGAGGCUUUGUCAUCUUCCAAAAUCCCCUCUGGGCCUUCAGUUUUGACUCUAAAUUCCAUCUUUUUGGCUAGAGCACCUAGUUCUCCUGCCUAGGAAUGUGCAUUUGUAGCACUGGGCACUUGAAAGUAGGGACCACAAUCCAGCAUGACUCAAGCAUCUAUACUUCAAGAACCCAAGAGACUGGAAAACACUGGAAAAAGGUCCUGACUGCCUGCUCAAGUAUGGGUUUCUCUGGUGAUGCACUCUCCCAGGUGAUGGGGUGUAUCUGUCAAGAAAGAGGCUAAGGUGGAGGUGGGGGGCUUUCUGCUGCUGGGAGCCUGCUUUCUUGUCCUUUUUGGAGAGUUAUUUGGCUAGCUUGCUCUAUGACUGUUGGUCCUCUGUCUGAAGCAUCUGUACUGAAUCCUUGUCCCCUUUGGAUGGGAAUAGGGGUCACUGUCACUGACUGCAGUGGCUGAGAGUUCCUGUGGCUCAGGGCUAGCUGCUGGAUAUUGAAGAGUCUAAGCAGCUCUUAGCAUUGUAAAGGUGUGUUUUCCCAUCUGGGUGUAUUGGAUCAUUGCAGGGCGGGAGGACUAUGCUCCACGGAGUCCCUCCAGGACUGAGGCUUCUUUACAUAGAGCCCUUCUUUACUAGAGUUUCGUAAAAGGGUCAAUCUUACCCUCUCUUCCUCCUUAUCUCAUACUGCUUAUGCCAUUGGUCUCAGGUGCUUAAGAUCACCAGACACAUUCCCAUUGUCACAACCCUUUAUUUGAAUGACAUUGCAUGCAGGAGCAUGUCUUCAAGCCAUUGCUCCUCAGAACAAGGUCCUGAGGAUCAAACUCUUCCUUUUCCCUUUUCUACAUCCCAUGGACCCUCAACAGCUCAGAGGUAGCCCUGAAACAUGGAUUGAAGGCUCCCGGGUGGUCUCCAUCCUCCUGAUGCUUAUGCCUUGUUCUUUGCAUCCAAAGAGGGUCACUUGGGAUCUGCUUGAAUGUGAGUUAUGUCAAAGUUCUUGCUGCCUCCAAAUUAGUAUUAGUACAUCGUGGGAACAAGACCAUCUGUGUGUGUGUGUGUGUGUGUGUGUGUGUGUGUGUGUGUGUGUACUAUAACCACAACAACAAGAAUGUCCAAAACCAAUGCAAAGCAUGAAUUCUAAUUAGCAGCCUGAUACCAUGGAGGAGGCAAAGGCUGGGCAGAGGCACAGCCCUGUGUUCUGGAGCUCCCACCUCUGAAAUAUUUGGUAAGGAGCAGAUCUUCAAGCCAUUGGGAAGGGAAUGAGAAAUAAGGGAAACUAAACCUCUCCUCCAACACCUCCAAGGCUGUGUGCACUGCAGCCUCCUCCCGGCAGAUAUCUGCACAGCAGGUACCAGGAGUUUGGCAUUCUAGUAGCAUCUGUUAGAUGAUAAAUCACAGACACAGCAGUGAUGUGUGUUCAAUAUGGUGAGUGGAUGCUGCAUGCAUGAGCUGGAAACCAAGGGUCUAUGGCAAGGCUGUGGGGUGCAGGGCUGUUGAUCAUGAAGAGGAGCCACAAGUACAGGGCUAGGUAUGGGGGGCAAUGCAGCUGUUUCCACAUUGCCCUCUCUGGGACUAUCAUACUAACACAAUCCCAUACCCGGUUAUCCUGGAGUCAGGUCCUGGCUCACUUAGGAGAGGUUCUGCAGCUCUCUGAUGAUCAGUUCUCUGGAUAGCAAGAUGUAUCUGAUGGUGACAUUUCUAAGUGAACUCCAGGCCAGUGACACAGUGUAAGUUUCCCUGUGUGAAUGGUUCAGUGGUGAGGAACUUGGAGCUACAUGGAUUCACCGGGUCUAGGUCUUUUCUCUCCAAUACUAGUAUUUGAGCAGGGGACCCCACACCUCCCAUCUUCGUCCAACCUGGCUUCUCUACCUUUUACCUGCUACCACACCAAACUCUUCCCUCUUUCCUGGGGUUUCCUGCUCAUCUUGUUCACAGUUUUGUCUCCUGCCUGAGGGCCUCCUGAGGGCCUGCCUCUGACAGUAACAUCCUAGUAGCCACCUCCUGAGCUCAGCUCAUUGUCCCUUCCUCUAGGUACUCCAGUUCCCUUCUCCCUCCCAUGCCCUCCUUUUCGCUCUCCCUCAUUUAUUCCUUCCUUCCCUCCUUCUUUCCUUCCUUCCUCCUCCUGUCCUUCCUCCCUUCCUUCUCCAUCAAUAUUCCUGGAUUUCCCCAGACAUCUCUUUUUGCACCUCUUGUCCUGCUCACUAAGGGAUUCUUUGGACCAAACAUCACUAGGUAUGCAACCCUCCCACUGUUGGCUGCCCUAUUCUUACCUACACCUCCAUGUUCCCAGGGUGGCUUCAACUUUAUAUGUGUUUUGUUAAUUGAGUUUCCAAAAUGAAUCACCUACAAUAAAACUAGGGCAUUUCUAUCACUUCCCAAAGAGUCAUGAUAUGGUGUUACUCUAUUUUGGGGUGUGGAUUAGAGCCCUGGGUAGUGGACUCCAUAGAGAGCAGCUCAUCUGUAUGCUCAUCCUAGGCCUGUGGUGACCUCUCAGCCACCAGCAGUCACAUUUGUCCUCUUAGGGCAGAGUCUCUGUGGCUGGAGAAGUUGAUAUUGUGUGCUCCUGUUCAGAGCUGAAUGUAGUUAGCUUCUGGGGUUACUUCCAGCUAGCACUGGCCACCCUGUCAUGCUCAAUGUCCAGUGAGCAAGGGAGAGGUUGGCUGACUCGUGGUAGAAGCAAGGCUGUGAGAUGGGAAGUGCAUGUAGCAAGAAAAGAGAGUAUCUGGUAGUAUGCCAUCACCAGGGGACUCAAAAGAGCCUGCAGCCCUUUAUGCAGGUCCUCCAGGACCCUAGUUCUGCGUUUCAGUUGUUUUUUGUUUUCGAGACAGGGUCCUCUCUCUGUAAUCCAGGCUGGCAUGGAGCUCAAAGUUAUCUGGCUGCCUCUGCUUUCUUAUUGCUGGGAUUAGAGCUGUGUACCAGUGCCAAGUCUCUGUCUCUAUUUCUUGUUCCUGAAGCCCCUCCCAGACAGGCCUUAGCUUAUAGUGUUCUAUCAACUCAGAAGUUCUUAGACAUGCCACCAGUCAAGAGUAAGAGGCUGGGCGACUAUGAUUUGGGAAUUCUUCUUCUUUGAGUAGAAAAUGAAAUCUAAGGGGACUGAGAUCCUGGAGAGAGGGCUCUUGCUGUUCUUGUACAGGACCCCAGUUCAGUCCAGUUCCCUACACCCACAUGGUGGCUUAAAAUUUCUGUACUCCAGUUCCAGGGAUCCGGCAUACUACUCAGGCCUCUGCUAGCAGACAGGCAACCUCAGAAUGUAUUAUAUAACAAGAAAAACAUUUGUAACAUACUACAUAAAUAAAUAUUCUUAAAGCUUUGAAAGAGAAAAAAGGAAAAGAACACAUGUACACAUUUUGACAUCUUAAAACUGCAAAUGACGUUUAAUCACAGCACUAGGGAGGCAGAGUCAGGUUGAUUUCUGAGUUUGAGACUAGUCUGGUCUACAAAGUGAGUUUCAGGAGAGCCAGGGCUAUACAGAGAAACCCUGUCUCAAAAAACAAAACAACAACAACAACAACAAAAACAAAACAAAAAAACCUGCAAAAGAGCCAGGCUUUCUGGCUCACACCUAUGACUGCUAGACAGGGGAGGCAGGAAGGUAAGGGUGCAGGUUGUCCUCAGCUACAUAGUAAGUUUGAAGUCAGGGUGAGCUACUGUGGGGAGCAGAUGUGGCAGCAGUCCCAAGAUGGCGCCCGGGACUGCAGCCAAGUCUUAUGACUUUUUCCUGACUUCCUCAUACACCUGAAAAUAAGCCAUGACCAUCGUGAGAACUGCGCAGGUGCACCAUGAUGCAAGAUCGGACCAUAUGACGAGUGAUGAUUCUGGCCAAUGGACUGCUGUUACAUGGACUGGGCUGAUGGGGCAUGGAUGAGGCGUUAUAUAAGGGAUUGCGAUUCAGGGCGGAGAGAUACACAAGAGACUAUUCCUGGAGAGAGAUUCGUGCAUGCAUGUUGAAAGGUUCCUGAAUAAACUGCUUUGAGAAGAACUUAGUGUCAUCACUUUUUUCUGCUGGUUGGAAUCAGAGGCGACAAAUGGUGGCCCGUGUGGGGACGUUCAGAACUCAUCCCAGUCAGGGCAGCUAGCUGGAUCACCGACAACUGCUGUGGAUCCCAGAGCAGCUGACCAGAGCAAUUCAGGGCAAGCAGAGCGAUGAGGACGUGGAUAUUCCUUUGGCUGGGAAUGCUCCCGCUAGUGAAAACUGAAGAGCUACAUUGGGGAAUUAUGUCUGUGUUCCUGAAAACCAUGCCAUUGACGCAUUUGGCACAAGUGUUUCCUCAAUUCUUUACAUCUAAUGCUUCACUACAAUUGCCUUUUUUAUCAUGGGAUGGAGAGAUAGCUCCAGUGCGGGAAUCUAUGCUGCUUCAGAUAAGGGGAUUGUUGUGUUUUCAGAUGAUUCAAAAUAUUUCACAGAUGAGUGAUUGUGUUCAGCUGUAUCUACUAAAGUUAAUGCUACCUGGAUUCGAGGGGUGUGGCCUGCCAGUAUAUCCAAGGGCAAUAGCACUAUACCCUCCUAACCUAGAUGGACCCUUUUUUGUAGGAGUGUUCGUGAUUCCCUUCCACCUUGGACCAGCUGUCAAUCUAGAAAAGUACCUUGGGCAGUGAAGAAUUAUUUUUCGUUUUCCCCUUAUAUAGGUACAGUCCAUAAUAGUUCCUUUUCAGGGUAUAAUUGGACAUAUCAAAAUCCAGCUCAAGUAGGAGCUAGUAAUCCUUUUAAUGUAUGGUUGUUAGGUGGGGUGAAUGGUAGUUGCACUGAUCUUUCCCCCUUAAGCAUGGAGGCGGGAGGGGCCUGGGGCAAUGCGAGUUUUUAUUGGAAUGGUUCUAAUGUGUUUAAAACUUCUGUAUUUCAAUUUGCUGGAGGGAGGAAUGCUUCAUUUCAGUCUAUGCCUGUUUGUAUGUGGCCUCCUUUUGUUUUUAUUGUUUAUAAUGGUAGUUAUGAGAAUAAUGUUGUUAAUUGUAGUAGUGAUAUUUGUUAUGAUAGUAUGUGCUAGAAUGCAUCUGAAUAUCAUUUAGCUGUUGUGACUAGAAUGCCUCGCUUUGUACCUUGGCCUGUUCAGGCUCCUUCUGCUAUGACUUUGUUUGGACCAAGAGGGAUUUUUGGCAUUGCUGCAGCCAUUGUCACUGCUGUAGCAAUCUCUGCUACUGCAGCCACCGGUGUGGCCACAUCCCUUACAAACUGCCGCGGCUGUGAAUUUAACCGUUGGUGUUGCAGAAGCUUUGGAUUGCUGACCACUGUCUUCCGCUUGGAAGAGUGAGCCGGAAUUGAUGGACUUGCCCUGUGUCUGAUAUUAAUAAGCAUCCUGGCCUUCUGAUGCACCUGCCGCAAGCAGAGUCGUCAGCGCAGAGCCCAAGCCUUGAUGAUACAGGCUUUUGCGGCAGUGAAAACUGGACAAUCUCCUCAUGUGUGGCUUGACAUGCUAGAGAAGUAGUCAAUGACGGGUAAGACUCCCUGGGCGUGUCACCAACCUAAGACAGGGAUCAAACCAAUGCUGUUUGUCUCCCGAUGAUGGGUAAGGGGCAUUGCCACAGGGUGCAACCUAAGACAGCCAUUCUCUCUGCCAAUAAGUACAGAAGGGGGAGAUGUGAGGAAUGGGUGUGGCAGCAGUCCCAAGAUGGCACCCGGGACUGCAGCCAAGUCUUAUGACUUGUUCCUGACUUCCUCAUACACCUGAAAAUAAGCCACGACCAUCAUGAGAACUGCUCAGGUGCACCAUGAUGCAAGAUCAGACCAUAUGACGAGUGAUGAUUCUGGCCAAUGGACUGCUGUUAUGUGGACUGGGCUGAUGGGGCGUGGUUGAGAGGUUAUAUAAGGGAUUGCAAUUGGGGGUGGAGAGAUACACAAGAGACUGUUCCUGGAGAGAGAUUCAUGAAUGCAUGUUGAAAGGUUCCUGAAUAAACUGCUUUGAGAAGAA
This is a long non-coding RNA of Mus musculus (house mouse), 8464 nucleotides long. RefSeq annotates it as predicted gene, 53747. The record is from RefSeq and is a predicted model, not a curated record. The transcript is spliced from 2 exons. Lineage: Eukaryota; Metazoa; Chordata; Mammalia; Rodentia; Muridae.